GGGCCCGUAGCUCAGCCUGGUCGGAGCGUCCGACGCAACCGGAAGGUCGUGGGUUCGAACCCCACCGGGCCCA
RNAcentral lists this transfer RNA (73 nucleotides) under Thermoprotei archaeon. Its description in RNAcentral is "tRNA-Cys". It matches the Rfam family "tRNA". From Rfam's summary of the family: Transfer RNA (tRNA) molecules are approximately 80 nucleotides in length. Their secondary structure includes four short double-helical elements and three loops (D, anti-codon, and T loops). The record is from RNAcentral. Lineage: Archaea; Thermoproteati; Thermoproteota; Thermoprotei.